RNAcentral lists this ribosomal RNA (407 nucleotides) under uncultured bacterium. RNAcentral's name for it is "bacterial SSU rRNA". It matches the Rfam family "Bacterial small subunit ribosomal RNA", at positions 355 to 776 of the family's 1533-position model. The record is from RNAcentral.
UGGGGAAUUUUCCGCAAUGGGCGAAAGCCUGACGGAGCAAUAUCGCGUGAAGGAUGAAGGCCCGUGGGUUGUAAACUUCUUUUUUUAGGGAGGAAAUUUGACGUGUACCUAAAGAAUAAGCAUCGGCUAACUCUGUGCCAGCAGCCGCGGUAAGACAGAGGAUGCAAGUGUUAUCCGGAAUUAUUGGGCGUAAAGCGUCUGUAGGUGGUUUAAUAAGUCAAAUGUUAAAUCUUAAAGCUUAACUUUAAAAUCGCAAUUGAAACUAUUAAACUAGAAUAUAGUAGAGGUAAAGGGAAUUUCCAGUGGAGCGGUGAAAUGCGUAGAUAUUGGAAGGAACACCAAUGGCGAAAGCACUUUACUUGGCUAUUUAUUGACACUCAGAGACGAAAGCUAGGGGAGCAAAUGGG